ACCUACUGUUUAAUUUUGAGGGUUCGUUUUUACGAAUACUCAAAAUUAGCACUUUUAGCAACAGAAUAAACUGAACGCAUGUGAAGUUUGUUUGUUGGCGCUGUGCUUUAGCACUUUGAAAACUGCAUAUAUAUUUAGUGAUAUGACAUCUAAUUUGUAAUAUAUAAAGCUGAUAACUUUUUAAAAUUAUCGAAGUUGAUAGCUUCUAAUCUAUCAAACCUUUUUAACUGGUCAA
This 235-nucleotide unclassified non-coding RNA is filed under the name Clostridioides difficile. Its description in RNAcentral is "16S-23S ribosomal RNA intergenic spacer (ISR)". Lineage: Bacteria; Bacillati; Bacillota; Clostridia; Peptostreptococcales; Peptostreptococcaceae. The record is from RNAcentral.